This 206-nucleotide ribosomal RNA is filed under the name uncultured bacterium. Its description in RNAcentral is "partial 16S ribosomal RNA". It matches the Rfam family "Bacterial small subunit ribosomal RNA", at positions 568 to 774 of the family's 1533-position model. The record is from RNAcentral.
UGCGUAGGCGGGAAUAUAAGUCAGAUGUGAAAAACUGAAGCUCAACUUCAGCCCUGCAUCUGAAACUGUAUUUCUAGAGGAAAGGCGGAGAAAACGGAAUUCCACGUGUAGCGGUGAAAUGCGUAGAUAUGUGGAAGAACACCAGUGGCGAAGGCGGUUUUCUAGCUUCCUCCUGACGCUGAGGCACGAAAGCAAGGGAGCAAACA